AUACGGAGGGUGCAGGCGUUAAUCGGAAUUACUGGGCGUAAAGGGCGCGUAGGCGGUCUAUCAAGUCAGUUGUGAAAUCCCACGGCUCAACCGUGGAGGUGCAUCUGAAACUGAUAGACUUGAGUAUGGGAGAGGAAAGUGGAAUUCCCGGUGUAGAGGUGAAAUUCGUAGAUAUCGGGAGGAACACCAGUGGCGAAGGCGACUUUCUGGACCAAUACUGACGCUGAGGCGCGAAAGCGUGGGGAGCAAACAGGAUUAGAAACCCCAGUAGUCC
RNAcentral lists this ribosomal RNA (274 nucleotides) under uncultured bacterium. RNAcentral's name for it is "partial 16S ribosomal RNA". It matches the Rfam family "Bacterial small subunit ribosomal RNA", at positions 523 to 796 of the family's 1533-position model. The record is from RNAcentral.